Molecule: ribosomal RNA, 425 nt
Filed under: Escherichia coli
Lineage: Bacteria; Pseudomonadati; Pseudomonadota; Gammaproteobacteria; Enterobacterales; Enterobacteriaceae
Description: partial 23S ribosomal RNA
Rfam family: Bacterial large subunit ribosomal RNA
Source: RNAcentral
CCUAAGCUGAGGCCGACAGGCGUAGGCGAUGGAUAACAGGUUGAUAUUCCUGUACCACCUAUAAUCGUUUUAAUCGAUGGGGGGACGCAGUAGGAUAGGCGAAGCGUGCGAUUGGAUUGCACGUCUAAGCAGUAAGGCUGAGUAUUAGGCAAAUCCGGUACUCAUUAAGGCUGAGCUGUGAUGGGGAGAAGACAUUGUGUCUUCGAGUCGUUGAUUUCACACUGCCGAGAAAAGCCUCUAGAUAGAAAAUAGGUGCCCGUACCGCAAACCGACACAGGUAGUCAAGAUGUGAAUUCUAAGGUGAGCGAGCGAACUCUCGUUAAGGAACUCGGCAAAAUGACCCCGUAACUUCGGGAGAAGGGGUGCUCUUUAGGGUUAACGCCCAGAAGAGCCGCAGUGAAUAGGCCCAAGCGACUGUUUAUCAA